Long non-coding RNA from Daphnia magna, 1064 nucleotides. RefSeq lists it as uncharacterized. Lineage: Eukaryota; Metazoa; Arthropoda; Branchiopoda; Diplostraca; Daphniidae. The transcript is spliced from 4 exons. The record is from RefSeq and is a predicted model, not a curated record.
UUUAGAAUUGUGUGUGUAUUUUUUGGCAGUAUCCUAAUAUCCCUAACUUUUAGAUAGAAACUUAUAAUUAGCAUAGAAAGAUUUUUCUUAAUUAGACGAAUUUAACCACACCUAGUUUAUGGGGUUGCAAAUGAUUUAUAACAUAUAUAAGGAUUCUACAAUAUAAAUUUUAUGUAACUGGUUCUUUAUGUUGUUAAACAAAAGAGGUUAACCAUUCAAAGAACUAGUCUUGACUCUUUUGAAGAGAUUGAUUUAGAAGUAAAGACCAGAUGUCAGCGUACGCAGACAAAGAAAUCAAAAUUAAUACCGAAUUCCAUCAUAAGAACAUUUCAAUCAGAAUGGCUAACAAAUAAAGAUUUUAAAGGAUGGCUUAUUAAGAAAAAGAAACCUGAUGACAGUUCUUAUUGUGCCUUUUGCAAGGCUUGUUCCGUCUUCAUUAUGAACAAAAAUAUAACAUCACUGUUCAUAUGAAGCCAUCCAGCCACAAAAAGGCGAUGGAGGAAGUCGUGUCAAAGCAAAAGCAGCAGAACAACCUUGCAUAAUUCAUUGAUAAUAUCCUCUCUAAAAAUAUUACCUCCUUGGAAUUAAGGUUGUGUUUUUUCGUAGCAGAACACAACCUUGCCCUGUCAUCGGCUGACCAUAUCCUGCAACUUUUAGAAUCAGAAUUACCUGACAAUCCCAUUCUCUCUCGUGCCACAAUGGGAAUAACGAAAACUUCUAACUACGUACGGGAAGCUAUCGAAAAAUAUGUGACGAAUGACUUGGCAGAUAGAGCAAGGAAAAGUUUUUUUCUCUCAUAUAAUUGACGAAAGCACAGAUAUUUCGGUGAAAAAUAAAAUGGUGUUGCUGGUUUUAUUUUUUGGCGUCAAAAUGUACGCAGAGCUUUUGGAAUUGGCGUGUUGCAAAGAUGCCACUGCCGAAGGGCUAACGACAGCCCUGCUUGACAUACUAAAGCAAUUUAAUAUCACUUAAUGUCAAAUAGUAGUGUUCUGUGCGGAUACGUGCAACACAAUGUUUGGAAAGCACAAUUUUGUAUCUCAAAAAUUAAAAAAAAAAAUUCCUCA